Molecule: ribosomal RNA, 425 nt
Filed under: uncultured bacterium
Lineage: Bacteria
Description: partial 16S ribosomal RNA
Rfam family: Bacterial small subunit ribosomal RNA
Source: RNAcentral
GUAGGGAAUAUUGCAAAUGGGCGAAAGCCUGAUGUAGCAACGCCGCGUGUGCGAUGAAGGUCUUCGGAUUGUAAAGCACUUUUUGGAGGGAUGAGGAAGGACAGUACCUCCAGAAUAAGCCUCGGCUAACUACGUGCCAGCAGCCGCGGUAACACGUAGGAGGCAAGCGUUAUUCGGAUUUACUGGGCGUAAAGCGCGUGCAGGCGGUUUGGAAAGUUGGAUGUGAAAGCUCCUGGCUCAACUGGGAGAGGUCAUUCAAUACUUCCAGACUUGAGAGUGGUAGAGGGAGGUGGAAUUCCGGGUGUAGUGGUGAAAUGCGUAGAUAUCCGGAGGAACACCAGUGGCGAAAGCGGCCUCCUGGACCACUUCUGACGCUCAGACGCGAAAGCUAGGGUAGCAAACGGGAUUAGAAACCCUUGUAGUCC